CUGUAUGUAUUGUUGUGUACGUGUUGACAUGCGUGUUUCUUUAAAGACUAAAGUGAAUUCAGAGAUUUGUUUGUAAAUACAUUAACUUGUGCAUGUUUGAAGAUAAUUACUGAAAACUAGAAAUACAACUAUGAAGUUCUCAUUUGUACAGAUAUAUCAUGAAACAGUUUUCAAUCAUUUCAAGUUUUUCAGAUUUUUUUGCCAUGAGUCAUCCCUCCCAACUUGAACGCCACCUUCGUUCGCAACAGCCCUAUCUGGUGCAAUUUGUAACAUGCAGUUAGCUAACUAGCAACGGCUAAAAUCCGAAAAGACAUCUGCCUUUCAGACAGUCCACUCUCGUAGCUGCUUUAGAGCGCCUCGUUUUUGGCCGUGAGUGCGCGCACGCCAUACAGAGAAAGACAGAAGAGCGAGGAAGAUGGAAAGUCGGACUUGACAGCCAACACGUGGACCAAGGCUUCACGCUGGCGUGGCUGCUUUGGAGUGUCUCGUUAUCACGGUGUGGAAAACCGCCAAGAUGACCCAGUGGGAUAUAUUCCAGCCACCAAAGGCUUUAAGCUUAUAUAUUUUCGUGGCUCAAAGUUAUAGGCAGACGUAAGAAAGAUUGAAGACGAAGUAGCAUCUUUUUUCCAGGUCGUAGUACUGGCGUUUGACUGACACUUGAGCGCAGUCAGCGGACACGCCGCAGCUUUUGAAAACGUGUUCUCCUAGCAUUCGAUUAACCAAAUGAAAAAUGCAUCGGCGGAUGUGGCUCUCCGUUCCCACAUGCGAGGGGAUUACAAUGAGAGCGAGGAUGAAGGCUGUCGACGGCGAGUGGGAGGGAGGAAGCACCCGAGGCCGCUGCGCACGGUGUGGAUGUUGAUGAAGUGCCGGAGUAAUUGGCUAAUGAGAUCUAAGCUGUCUCCUCUCUGUGCCUCUCACCCGGUGAAGUGACGCAUGGCGGCCCGCCGCGGGCUGUAUGUGUGUGAGUAUGGCGUCGUCCGGGCUGGUCAGUAGGUAGGGCGCGAGGGUGUCGACAUGGGUGACAUGGACCCACCGUGCUCUCACCUGACGUCUCUCGGCUUGAAUGUUCGGAAGGAGGUCGAAGGGAAUGUUUUUAAAUAGCACGGUGUUGUCACACACAUCUGCGGACUUUUUGACCAAACUCUAUGCAAUCACUUUGACCGGAUUCACUCAGUCUUUUUUAUUUACAUUUAGAUUUUAAGUCCUUUAAGAGUCAAGCUCAAUCAGAUGUACACAAUCCUGUUGACUGGUUUACUGGAGAGAGCAACUGAAAAUAUGGGAAUACUAGGGCGUGGGGUACAAUAGUGACAUUGUGAUGUGCCAUAUCAUUGUCCAUACAAUAUCAAUACGGUACUACUGUACGUAUAUGCUACCAGGGUCAAAAUCACUAUGAAGUGCAUUUGGUGUGCUCAGAAUCACUCAAUCAUCAUAAAAAUAGACCAGGAUAAUGAAUAAAUGAAUGAAAUUAAUAAAUAACAAUUACAGCAGACAGUGAGUGAACUUUGUGCACUUAGCUGCCGUAGACAUACAGAGAACACGUUCCAAUAGUACACAAGUCUACACGAAGGCAGUUCCACUAGUCAAUCAGCAAUAACAAGAUGCGAUGUCACCUCCUUAAAAAGGAGUCAAUGGGUAAAGGUUUUUGCACCACAAACCAUUAGUGCGUCACAAAAGGAGACAACCGCGAUAAACGAAACCAUUUUUACUCAUCGGUAAAUUUAUACAAUUUAUCAUGCAAUUUAUACAAUUUAUCAUGCAAAUCUAGAUGAACAUAUGUUUUGAAAUAUUUUCAUGAAUUUCUGUCUUAUUCAAGGUGACUCAGCUGAGCGGUGAGGCAGCACCCCAGCGCCCUCUACUGACCAGCCGCUACUAAGUUUCAGUGGAGCAAAACAAAGACGUUAAAAAAAUAAAUAAAUAAAUGGCUGAGAUGGGCCAAUACGCAUUUUGUGCACAAAAUUUAGUAUAUUAUCAGAUUUAGUGUUGAAAAAAGACAGAAAUUUAAGUUAGUUAAGCUUUAAAUGAUCUAAAUACUUUACAGAUUGUAAUGUAAAACAUGCUAAAACAAGAACCAUGUGAUGUUUUUGCUAUGAGACAAUCCAUCUUCAUUAACGCUUAUACUCACUCAGGGUGUGGUGAAACCUGCCAGCUGACUUCGGGCGAGAGGCGAUACCGCCGGACUAGUCGCCGGCCAAUCGCACAAAUAGACAAUCAAGUAAUGGAAUUUUUUUUUAUCAUCUUUCCUUCAAACAUGAAAACUGCAACCUCUCCGUGACCAUAGGGGUAGUAGGCGGGGUAACAGCUGGACUGAAGGCAAGUGUCAUAACGGAUAUGCCCCCUUUGAACAAAGUAGCAAUAAAACCAGGAGCUGAUGCAGUCGGUUACUGUGCAAAAGAUGUCCUUGUGUCAAAAUAGCAAAGUGCUAUUUUGCAAAUAAGACAUUGAGCAAAGUGCUCAAUGAAGUGGCUUUUCAUCAUGUUUCAGAGAAUAAUCUAUGUCUGCUCUUCUCGCUAUAUUGAUGAGGGAGGGGACUUGUAUACUCGGAGACUGAUUUUGGGAAGUUAUUCAGACACAAGGGAGACAGAUGCUUUUUUUGCAAUGCUCCGCGUUAACUUGAUUUUGGCUAAAACAGAUAUUUUAUUUCCUCCCUUCACACUGAUAAACAACACAGAUAAUAUCUUAAGUAACAUUUGAGCAUAGUUAAAAUAGUUAAGUCAACAGUCAUAACUGCUGAUACUUGUACUCGAGUGUACAUAAUGCAGGGUACACACUUACAGAAAAUUGGGCCAAAUUUGAGCAUUUCCUCCCUCCGUAUUAAAGGCCCGAUUAUUGGAUGUCGCUAAAAAUAUCCUAACCCAUGACCCUGUGGUGAGAGCGAUUUUUAUGU
Phyllopteryx taeniolatus (common seadragon) is the source of this 2884-nucleotide long non-coding RNA. RefSeq lists it as uncharacterized. The transcript is spliced from 3 exons. NCBI's taxonomy places the organism in Eukaryota, Metazoa, Chordata, Actinopteri, Syngnathiformes, Syngnathidae. The record is from RefSeq and is a predicted model, not a curated record.